RNAcentral lists this unclassified non-coding RNA (354 nucleotides) under uncultured fungus. RNAcentral describes it as "partial contains small subunit ribosomal RNA, internal transcribed spacer 1, and 5.8S ribosomal RNA". The stretch from base 1 to 73 matches the Rfam family "Eukaryotic small subunit ribosomal RNA", at positions 1759 to 1831 of the family's 1831-position model. Lineage: Eukaryota; Fungi. The record is from RNAcentral.
UCAAACUUGGUCAUUUAGAGGAAGUAAAAGUCGUAACAAGGUAACCGUAGGUGAACCUGCGGUUGGAUCAUUACAGAAUUAUGAUUUGUUGGGUGGAACAUGAGGGCUUUGAGCUCUUCCCCCUUCAAAUUCAUAUCCACCUCUUGUGUAACGUUUCACGUAUUUUGGCGGUCCUUAACCAUGGGGGAUGAGAAGAAGAGAAAAUUCUCUCCUGCUUUCUCCCUCGGAUCGCCAGCAUUAAACACCAAAAUAUUUUAGUUUGUGAACAUUGAAUGCCUCGUCACGAGGUUUCUGAAUUUGAAAACAACUUUUGACAACGGAUCUCUUGGCUCUCGCAUCGAUGAAGAACGCAGC